Acanthosepion pharaonis is the source of this 108-nucleotide non-coding RNA. The record is from the annotation of a GenBank genome assembly. NCBI's taxonomy places the organism in Eukaryota, Metazoa, Mollusca, Cephalopoda, Sepiida, Sepiidae.
CAUAUCACAUUGAACUCACUGGUUUUCAUUCGAAAAACCAAGUUAAGCCACAUUGAGCGUGCUCAGUACUUAGGUGGGUGACUGCUCGGGAAUAUCAGGUAUUGUAAG